GGCAGUGCAUGUUUAUGGAACGGUGAAACGGUUGAAAGUGCUAUGGUGGAGUGAAUCUAGCUUAGAAGGCCUUCACCAUGGGAAGGAAGCUAGAGGAUAAGGUGGAAGAAGCACAAGAAUAUGACUCUCGAUGGAGAGAAGAUGUUGGAAAUGCUUCAGCAUAUCUAUUCUCUCAAAUAUCCAAAAGUGAAUACAUGGGCAGCCAAGGUGAGUUAUGUAGACUCCUCAACCUUUAGCUUGGUGAUGAAAAUGUGUUCAGCCAAUAUGAAUCAUGUUUCCUAACUCUAAGACAUGUGCUAAAUGUGCUAGCUUCUAGAAUCUAUAUGGAGUACACGUUUAUUUCAAUUUCUAAAAUAAGAAAGUUCUCGGUGCACCCCCUGUCAAGCUAAUCUCACCCCUGCAUGUGCAUAAAGGUCUCUUUUACUCCUCUCCAUUUUUUUGGGGUUGUUCUUUAUUUGGUGGGCUUGGGCCCUGCGUAUCAUCCCCUCCCCCUUGGAAAGGAUUUGUCCUCAAAUCUGAUGGUUCGCUUGAGGACUUAUUUUUGUAGACAUCACUAGAAUUUCGCUAGGGUCAAAUAUCCACCUACAAUAAGCAUUAAACAUAUCACUAAUUAGUUUUCUAUGACUCCACAGAAUAUAUAAAAGAACAUGUUUAGAAGAAGGUUUCUUAAUUUUAAAAUGUUCAAGUUUAAUACUAUUAAGAAACCUUUCUUCUUUUGAAAUUUUAUUUGUUUCUUGAGUUAGUGGUACCCAUAAAAGUAACCCUAACCCAAGUUGUGAAUUGCCAUGUAUUGAAGGUUUUAUUUUUAAAGAUGACAUGGCAAAUUCUUGGAGAGAAAAGUGAUAUUUUGGACUUUCAAAAAUAAAUGAAGAAAAGUGAAAGGAUAGAAAACCUCCCCUUAAUAGUUUUGAUUCCAUUGUGGUUGGAGGAGAUAUUGCUCUUAGUUGCUUUUGUUCACUUUCUUCCACUUCUUUUCUAUCAAUUUCUUCUUUGUCUUCUCUUUCUUUUUCUUUUAUUCUCUCUUCCUCUUUUCUUCUCUCUUCUUCUCUUUCCUCUUCCUCUCUUUUUCUUCUCGCUUCUUCUUUUCUUCUCUCUUCUUCUCUUUCCUCUUCCUCUCUUUUUCUUCUUUCUUCAUCUUCUCUCCUUUCCCUCUCUCUUCUUUCUUUCUCUCUUCUUUGAAUUUCUCUUUCUCUUUUCUUAUCCUUUAGUUCUUGAAGUCUGGCUCCAAAUUCUAUUUCUCUCCGAAAGAAACCUUGAUCUUUUAAACUCGCAAGAAAUAAUUUUCCCUCUUGAAUACUAUCUUUCAUAAGUUCCAAGUUUCUUUUAAUCAAAGGAGGUACAAACUUGCUUCUCAUGCACGAUCUCAAUUCAUAGCAAUUUUCAAUGGUGGAUUUUCUACCUUGAUGAACCCAAUAUUGCCUUUCAUCCCACCACUCUAGUGCAUGCUUUUCUAAUCUAGAGAGAUAUAAACUAAGAACACGAGAUUCACACUCUCUAGAAAGAACAAUCGUACUAUAAGACUCAAGUUCACUUUGCCUAAUAAGGACUGGAUGCAUUUGAUUAAUUUCUUUUUCCCAAACUAGAUAUGUUAAGACAUUUGUAUCUUUACCAAAGAAGGGAAUUUUUCUAGCUUUAGUACACAAAUCAUCCUUAAUGUAUGAAUUAGACAUCCUAGAUGAAUAACAAGACAUUUUUGUUUCUAAAAGUUUUCUUGUGUUACAACUACUUAGAUUUCACCAAAGAACAAAUUCCAGGUAAGGGAGGUGAACCACUAGGGUUGCUUAAGUACCAAGCCUUUUCCUUGCCAAAAGUGUUCUAGGCUACUUACUUAGUUAUUGUAACUCAAAGAUCACUUUUAUGAUCACAAAAGAUGACUCAAAUAAUAAAAGAAAAUGCUAGGACUCUAAUGUCGGACUCUAAGGUGACCCCUAUGCGUGAAACACCAAUUUAAACACAUGUAAGAAAAGUUUUGCCAAGAGUUGAAAGAGCACCAAGGACUCUUCCAAAACACUUGGACUUUGAAUGGCCUUUUACAAAUAAAAGAAAACUAACACAAAAACCUAUUACAAAAUAAACAAAACAACUCAAGUGUUGCUGUCACGGUUUUGGUCCAAAGUAUUUGUGCUUGACUACUUCUGGACAGAUUCUGGUCAACUUUAGUUCUCCUUGCUUUUGGACUCAACUCUCACUUUCUCAAUUUUUCUUGUUGCAACCUUACGGAUUCUCCUUUGCUUUUCAAAACUACACAAACAAUGUAUAUCAAAUUCAAUAGGCAACUAAUAAUACUAUUACAAAAUUGUACCACAAAUUAAGAAUUCUUCCCUUUUAGCUCUCGGCCUUGCACAAUUGAUGUGGAGAAUGAAUUCAAUUUUCUUCUCAAAUUACAUUCUGCUGCACUAAUAAUCCAAUUUCCAUCAAACAACAUCUACAAUGUUGGAAUAGCAAUCAGCAGACGAAGUGUUAGUGAAUCGUGGCAGCGGCUGGUGAUGUUUCAGUGGUUCUUAUAAGCAUUGUUGCAGGUUGAUGUUCAACACUUUCCACGGUUCAGUGAUUUUACAAUCAACUGCUGCUGUAUUUUUUGUUGUUUGAAACUGUCCAGUUUCGGCACUAACUAGCAGCCAUGUGUGCUUCCAAUUUACCAACUGUUUGAGCUUAUCAACAACAGGUUUAAAUCCUACAUCAUGAGAUUACUCCAAGAACAAAAACUAUUCCAGACUUGUGCAACAAAAUUUAGUGAAUUUAAUUGGCCAAAAUCAUUGGCUGAACAGCUAGAGAUGAAGAGUCAAACUGACCAAAACAGUGUUAUAUGGAAACUGCAAUUUGACUAGCUACACAAGUCCAAAAUAAUGUCCAAUUAAUCAAAAUAAAACUAGUUUUCUCAAUUUUGUUCCAAAAGUCAAUUUGACUAUGUAAGUUGCACUUUAAUAAGUAAAUGCACAAAAUCUGGUGAUGUUAGAAAAUUCACUUCAGAAUUUGGAUGAUAUGUAAUGAUCAAAAUAUUUGUAGAUUUGAAAUGAUGCAAUGGUGAAAUUGAGCUUAUCAGUUAAAAUGGAAGUUGAACAAAUGCAGCAGUUUAUUUCCUAGACAAGACAGUUUAAAGAGAAGGGGUAGGCAAUUGCAACGUUGGCUUCUUUUAAGGAAAUUCUGCUUGAUAUUCUCGCAGUACACAAUUCUCACAGUUGCAUGAAAGUGAAGCUUUUAAUUUUGGCUGCAAGGAACGGUCUGAAGCAAGCUGCUGUUGCAGCAAAUGAUGUAGUUCAGCAGGCCAAUUCUGCAGCACCGAGAGCCCCAACUUCUUUGUGAUUUCCGCCCCUUAUCCACUCCCUAAUAUGCUACCAAUGGUUUAGGAUCUCAGCUAGAUCAAUUUCCCUAUAAUGACACUUCAACCAGAUCACAAAUCCUUCCAGAGAUUAGUGCACAAAACGUUGCUGCUGCACAGAAAUGGUGCAACACAAAACUGUACUACAACACCUUUUAACAAACAGGUGGUAGGCAAGAGUGCCAAUAAUGACUUUAAAGCAAGAAAAUGGUUGAUGAACACGGUAGCACAGCAAAAGGAACUUAAGAAAUGUUCUAGAGUAGAUUUAGAAAGCAAUAAAACAGUUAAAAGUCAAAAUGAAGUGCAAAUCAGUGAUGCUAUGGAGAAUUGACAAUCUGUUUGUGAAAAGGUCUCAAUGAAAGUCCAAUUUGGUUCCAAAUUUAUGAUUCUACUUUGUGCAGAUUUUCGAAAUUAUGUUGAACGGAUCCAAUGAGCUUUUUAACUUUCAUUUCAAUUCUUUUAAAUGUUAUAUUUCUUUUAUAUGGAUUCCAGCUUUUGCUACAACAUUCAAAUAAUGUUCAAUGCACCAAAUCAAGCUUCAAAAUAGUGUAAUUUCUGCAGCACUCAUUUGAACUAACAACAGAUGCUCAAAAAUGGAUGAAUUGACUAGUGAACAUGCACAGAACUGAUUACAGUCAUAUUAUCUUUGCACAAACAGGUUUAAUUGACGAAUUUAAACUUGUUUGACAGAGAAUUUUGGACAGAUUCAGAGUAUAUCAUAAUUUGACAUGUUUAGUUCAUGGUGCACUUCAAAUAAUCAACUCUAGUAUCCCACUUUUAAAUUAUCACUUAAACCAGACUUGUAUCAAUGAAAAAAAGAUUCAAAAUAGUGAUGGAAAAUUGCUUAGACAGCAGGAGGACAUUUUUAAAUGGUUGGCAAAGAACUAGGUGCUCAAACCAGAUUGGACACACGGACACAACUUCCAAAUUAGGUGCAGUUCGGUCUACUGCUACUUGAAAUGCACUUUGAACUUUCCAGUUAUAUAAUCAAGCUAAUUGCAAAAGCAAUCUCAAGCUCAUGUGGUAGUUAUUCUGGACUAGUUCAGCAAACGCAUUUUAACACAUUACUCAAUAGCAUUUAAAUCCAAAAACAACCGAUAAAACAGUAAUAUCAGAGACUGCAGCGUCAAAACAAUUGACUUAUUUUUUUUUUCAGAUCUGAUUGCGCAGAUUGCCACCGAGCUCAUUCACUUGAACUUCAUUGCUCUUUAAUGAUGAACAACAUGUAUUUGCAAAUUCAGAAUCACUUGAUGCAGACACAACUCACAACUUACACAGAAUUGAAGACAAGCAAAAAUCAAUGCAUACAAUGCACAAAACUUGACAGAUCUGGAUGGAUUACAAAACUAAAAGACUCAAAUCUGAUGUGACCGAAUAAAAUGAUGAAAAACAAAGCAAAAUAAAGCUAGCACAAAAGAAAUGACACAAUCAGAACCUAAGAAUGAACAGAAAAUGAAUGGAACAGUACACAAGAAACAGGACAGUACAGGAACUGUAAUGACAAUGCGGAUCUGAAAAGAAAACUUAGCUCACGGUUGCAUCUGGAACCUAGCUCUGAAUACCAAAUGAUAGCUCCAGCUUUGGGCUAUUCCUCAUAUCCGUGAGAUCCAGAUGUAGAGACGUAGUUGCAGCGAAAGAAAAUGGAGAUAAGAUGAAAAGCUGCAGCGGCAGUGCAUGUUUAUGGUACGGUGAAACGGUUGAAAGUGCUAUGGUGGAGUGAAUCUAGCUCAGAUGGCCUUCACCAUGGGAAGGAAGCUAGAGGAUAAGGUGGAAGAAGCACAAGAAUAUGACUCUUGGUGGAGAGAAGACGCUGGAAAUGCUUCAGCAUAUCUAUUCUCUCAAAUAUCCAAAAGUGAAUACAUGGGCAGCCAAGGUGAGUUAUAUAGACUCCUCAACCUUCAGCUUGGUGAUGAAAACGUG
RNAcentral lists this long non-coding RNA (5239 nucleotides) under Vigna radiata. RNAcentral describes it as "long non-coding RNA (VRAD_LNC005395)". The record is from RNAcentral. Lineage: Eukaryota; Viridiplantae; Streptophyta; Magnoliopsida; Fabales; Fabaceae.